AAAAUCCGUUUAGACAAUGCUAGGAUGUGAUGGGGAAGCCCUUCGGGGCGAAGUAGCUGAUUUCACACUGUCAAGAAAAGCUUCUAUCGAGUUUAAAGGCGCCCGUACCGUAAACCGACACAGGUGGGUGAGGAGAGUAUCCUAAGGCCAGCGAGAGAACUAUUGUUAAGGAACUCGGCAAAAUGACCCCGUAACUUAGGGAGAAGGGGUGCCUGUCUAUGACGGGCCGCAGAGAAUAGGCCCAAGCGACUGUUUACCAAAAACACAGGUUUCUGCUAAGUCGCAAGACGAUGUAUAGGAGCUGACGCCUGCCCGGUGCUGGAAGGUUAAGGGGAUCUGUUAGAGCAAUCGAAGCAGUGAACUUAAGCCCCAGUAAACGGCGGCCGUAACGAUAACGGUCCUAAGGUAGCGAAAUUCCUUGUCGGGUAAGUUCCGACCCGCACGAAAGGCGUAACGAUUUGGGCACUGUCUCAACAAUAGACUCGGUGAAAUUGUAAUCCCGGUGAAGAUGCCGGGUACCUGCGACAGGACGGAAAGACCCCAUGGAGCUUUACUGUAGCUUGACGUUGGGUCUUGGUACUACAUGUACAGGAUAGGUGGGAGACUAUGAAGCAUGGACGCCAGUCUGUGUGGAGUCAUCCUUGGGAUACCACCCUUGUAGUACUGGGAUCCUAACCAUAGGCCUUGAAUCAGGUCUUGGAACACCGUCAGGUGGGCAGUUUGACUGGGGCGGUCGCCUCCUAAAAAGUAACGGAGGCGCUCAAAGGUUUCCUCAGCACGGUCGGAAAUCGUGCGAAGAGUGUAAAGGCAAAAGGAAGCUUGAUUGCAAGACAUACAGGUCGAGCAAGGACGAAAGUCGGACUUAGUGAUCCGGUGGUACCGCAUGGAAGGGCCAUCGCUCAACGGAUAAAAGCUACCCUGGGGAUAACAGGCUUAUCUCCCCCAAGAGUCCACAUCGACGGGGAGGUUUGGCACCUCGAUGUCGGCUCAUCACAUCCUGGGGCUGUAGUAGGUCCCAAGGGUUGGGCUGUUCGCCCAUUAAAGUGGUACGCGAGCUGGGUUCAGAACGUCGUGAGACAGUUCGGUCCCUAUCCGUCGCAGGCGUAGGAAAUUUGAGAAGACCUGUCCUUAGUACGAGAGGACCGCGAUGGACGUACCUCUGGUGUACCAGUUGUUCUGCCAAGGGCAUGGCUGGGUAGCUAUGUACGGAAUGGAUAAGCGCUGAAAGCAUCUAAGCGCGAAGCCAACUUCAAGAUAAGAUUUCCCACCGUAAGGGUAAGACCCCAGGAAGACUACCUGGUUGAUAGGUCGAAGGUGUAAGUGCAGUAAUGUAUUUAGCUUAUCGAUACUAAUAGGUCGAGGACUUGACCAA
RNAcentral lists this ribosomal RNA (1372 nucleotides) under metagenome. RNAcentral describes it as "bacterial LSU rRNA". It matches the Rfam family "Bacterial large subunit ribosomal RNA", at positions 1537 to 2925 of the family's 2925-position model. The record is from RNAcentral.